GCGACUCCAGCUCCUGGAAGACCAAGAAGUAGGAAGCCUGCUUUCUCAGGCUCAAAGUUGUUUCUCGACCUCGUGUACGAAGCGUGACCGGAGCAGUUACCUGCAUAAAAGCACUGGAGUGUGGAACUUAAAAUGAGAGUGUCCCUCGGAAGUGGAAUCGGACUUAACCAAAAUUUUCAACCGCAGUAUUCUCUCGAUUGAAGAUUGAAGAGAGAAUCGGUACGAGGAGCAGCGGAAGAUUAUAAGUAGCGUCGGAGGUGGCAAAAGGCGAGUCGUGGUGUGGAAUACUGGGACGCGUGGAACAAGACCACAUGCAUUGGGCGUGGGAAGUGCAUACCUUUUCAUACGGUUCUAAUCCAGGCAGCGUAGCAUCAAGCCAAUGGAUUCAUUCUUGAUUAUUUGACUCCACCAAGUCGAGACAAUUGAUUGCUAACAUAACAUUUGGUCCAAUUAUUACAUUAAGGAUUUAAUUUCUGCACAGUCCUUGAUAUUUACAGACCAUUUUAGCUUUUCUUUCCAGAGCGAUUUUAGUCUCUGAAUCCAGCUGUUGUCUGUCCUUGGUAGCUGCGACUUGCGAGCCAGCGGGGAGCAUCAAAUGAUCACGAGGCCACGAUGAACAAAGGGGUUAGAAAGGUCCAACCAUUUCCCCCCCGGCUCUUGGAUGCUCAAAUGGAUAAACCGUUUGGGCCCAAACUGUGCAUAGAAGAAUUGGGUCCUCGGAAAGGGCAUCAGUAAAGAUGGGACUACUGAGCCAGUUGACAGCUAACCUCUCGUGGGCCCAAAUGAUGUUCCGACGUCUGUGCCAACCUGCAAGUGCAGAUUCGGAUCCUUUCGCAGCUGCACUUGUACUAGCAGAGCAGUUGAUUUAAAAUUUUAUUGGGAUCUUAAAUCAUCGAUCAAGAUCCAAUUCAAGCUCGGACGGAAAAAACCACACUUCAACAACUGUGGAUCCGUAUACUUGCACAAAAUGCGGCAACGAGUCCUGGGACGAUACUGAUUGAACUGUCAGAAGAAGCAAUGCCAAAGGCGUGUUUGUCGUGCGAGUUGGAACUGCCCUUUUUUUUUUCCCUGGAAUUAUUCUAAUUUGUACAAAGGGAAU
Coffea arabica (coffee) is the source of this 1099-nucleotide non-coding RNA. The record is from RefSeq and is a predicted model, not a curated record. NCBI's taxonomy places the organism in Eukaryota, Viridiplantae, Streptophyta, Magnoliopsida, Gentianales, Rubiaceae.